AGCGAACGCUGGCGGCAGGCCUAACACAUGCAAGUCGAGCGCCGUAGCAAUACGGAGCGGCAGACGGGAGAGUAACACGUGGGAACGUGCCCUUUGGUUCGGAACAACCCAGGGAAACUUGGGCUAAUACCGGAUAAGCCCUUACGGGGAAAGAUUUAUCGCCGAAGGAUCGGCCCGCGUCUGAUUAGCUAGUUGGUGGGGGAAUGGACCACCAAGGCGACGAUCAGUAGCUGGUCUGAGUGGAUGGUCAGCCUCACUGGGACUGAGACACGGACCAGCCUCCUACGAGAGGCAGCAGUGGGGAAUAUUGGACAAUGGGAGCAAGCAUGCUCCAGCCAUGCAGCGUGGGUGAUGAAGGCCCUAAGGUUGUAAAGACCUUUCGGCGGGGAAGAUAAUGACGGUACCCGCAGAAGAAGCCCCGGCUAACGUCGCGCCAGCCGCCGCCGUAA
This 449-nucleotide ribosomal RNA is filed under the name uncultured bacterium. RNAcentral's name for it is "partial 16S ribosomal RNA". It matches the Rfam family "Bacterial small subunit ribosomal RNA", at positions 29 to 523 of the family's 1533-position model. The record is from RNAcentral.